AACGAACGCUGGCGGCAGGCUUAACACAUGCAAGUCGAGCGCCCUGCAAGGGGAGCGGCAGACGGGUGAGUAACGCGUGGGAACCUACCUGAAGGUACGGAACAACUCCGGGAAACUGGAGCUAAUACCGUAUGUGCCCGAGAGGGGAAAGAUUCAUCGCCUUCAGAUGGGCCCGCGUCAGAUUAGCUAGUUGGUGAGGUAAUGGCUCACCAAGGCGACGAUCUGAGCUGGUCUGAGAGGAUGACCGGCCACACUGGGACUGAGACACGGCCCAGACUCCUACGGGAGGCAGCAGUGGGAAUAUUGGACAAUGGGCGCAAGCCUGAUCCAGCCAUGCCGCGUGAGUGAUGAAGGCCCUAGGGUUGUAAAGCUCUUUUGUGCGGGAAGAUAAUGACGUACCGCAAGAAUAACGCCCCGGCUAACUUCGUGCCAGCAGCCGCAGUAAG
This 446-nucleotide ribosomal RNA is filed under the name uncultured bacterium. Its description in RNAcentral is "bacterial SSU rRNA". It matches the Rfam family "Bacterial small subunit ribosomal RNA", at positions 29 to 524 of the family's 1533-position model. The record is from RNAcentral.